RNAcentral lists this ribosomal RNA (376 nucleotides) under uncultured bacterium. RNAcentral describes it as "bacterial SSU rRNA". It matches the Rfam family "Bacterial small subunit ribosomal RNA", at positions 28 to 404 of the family's 1533-position model. The record is from RNAcentral.
GACGAACGCUGGCGGCGUGCUUAACACAUGCAAGUCGAGCGGUAAGGCCCUUUCGGGGGUACACGAGCGGCGAACGGGUGAGUAACACGUGGGUGACCUGCCCUCAGCUCUGGGAUAAGCCUGGGAAACCGGGUCUAAUACUGGAUAUGACUCCAUGACGCAUGUUGUGGGGUGGAAAGCCUUGUGCGGCUGAGGAUGGGCCCGCGGCCUAUCAGCUUGUUGGUGGGGUGANGGCCUACCAAGGCGACGACGGGUAGCCGGCCUGAGAGGGCGACCGGCCACGACUGGGACUGAGACACGGCCCAGACUCCGUACGGGGGCAGCAGUGGGGAAUCUUGCGCAAUGGGCGAAAGCCUGACGCAGCGACGCCGCGUGA